This 500-nucleotide ribosomal RNA is filed under the name uncultured bacterium. RNAcentral describes it as "partial 16S ribosomal RNA". It matches the Rfam family "Bacterial small subunit ribosomal RNA", at positions 30 to 523 of the family's 1533-position model. The record is from RNAcentral.
AUUGAACGCUGGCGGCAUGCUUUACACAUGCAAGUCGAACGGUAACAGGGUGCUUGCACCGCUGACGAGUGGCGAACGGGUGAGUAAUGCGUCGGAACGUGCCGAGUAGUGGGGGAUAACGCAGCGAAUGUUGUGCUAAUACCGCAUACGUACUGAGGUAGAAAGUGGGGGACCUUCGGGCCUCACGCUAUUCGAGCGGCCGACGUCUGAUUAGCUAGUAGGUGAGGUAAAGGCUCACCUAGGCGACGAUCAGUAGCGGGUCUGAGAGGAUAAUCCGCCACACUGGGACUGAGACACGGCCCAGACUCCUACGGGAGGCAGCAGUGGGGAAUUUUGGACAAUGGGCGAAAGCCUGAUCCAGCCAUGCCGCGUGUCUGAAGAAGGCCUUCGGGUUGUAAAGGACUUUAGUCAGGGAGGAAAUCCCUAGUGCUAAUAACACUGGGGGAUGACAGUACCUGAAGAAUAAGCACCGGCUAACUACGUGCCAGCCGCCGCCGUAA